GGGAGAUUCAAUAUUGCCGUCAAAAGCAAUGUGCACUUCUCCCUUAGUAAGACGCUGUGAUCCAUUAGAAAUUGACCAUUCCUGGUUAUUUGGCUAUCAAUAGGCCGGUACGAAGUUCUUCAAUGCAAAUGGCUUGAUCCUUAAUGGUCGGGUGUAUUGUUUGGGGAGCGUGCUGUCACCUGUGUUAUAGCUGUCUGAUGGAUUUUAAAGGUCAUAUUACUGAUGCYYCGGCAUCACCCAUACGUGGGAGCGAAUAUGUGCCCGAUCAACAGCGGUUAAAUUUGGGAUACCUUUUGGACCCGUCUUGAAACACGGACCAAGGAGUCAAUCUAGUAUGCGAGUAAAUGAGUAUAUGAAACUUAUUUGCAGAAAAAACUUGACUGUUUUGGGACUACGAGUCGCGACUUGUCGCGGCCCCUCCAUCCCGGGGUAUUUCUAUCAACAUAUACAGCAAUGUGUAUGGGAAAUAUACCAUGAGCAUACUGGAUUUGACCCGAAAGGUGGUGAACUAUGCUUGAUCAGGUUGAAGUCAGGGGAAACCCUGAUGGAGGACCGAAGCAAUUCUGACGUGCAAAUCGAUUGUCAGAAUUGAGCAUAGGGGCGAAAGACCAAUCGAACCAUCUAG
RNAcentral lists this ribosomal RNA (625 nucleotides) under Limnophyes sp. n. NZ08_7.1. RNAcentral's name for it is "eukaryotic LSU rRNA". It matches the Rfam family "Eukaryotic large subunit ribosomal RNA", at positions 445 to 947 of the family's 3401-position model. Lineage: Eukaryota; Metazoa; Arthropoda; Insecta; Diptera; Chironomidae. The record is from RNAcentral.